UAAUAUAUUUUAAAUUAGGUAAUAAUGAUAUAUCUGAAACCUAAAGAACUUGGCGGUGUUUUAAAUAAUUGGAGGAACUUGUUGUUUAAUUGAAACUCCACAACAAAUCUUCCCCCAUUUUUGUUUGUAUAUCGUUGUUUUAAGACGACAUUUUUAAAUGUAGUCAAGAUUAAGAAUUUUUACAAAAUCAAAUCAAGGUGCAGCAUAAUAGGGUUACAGUGAGUUACAAUAUGUUUUAUGUAAACGAAAACGACAUGAAAAUUAAAUGGAAGGUGGAUUCAAAAGUAAUAAAAAAUUAAGAAGUUUUUAUGAAUAAAAAUUUAAAACAUGC
This 331-nucleotide ribosomal RNA is filed under the name Deccanometrus latimanus. Its description in RNAcentral is "Heterometrus latimanus partial small subunit ribosomal RNA". The record is from RNAcentral. Lineage: Eukaryota; Metazoa; Arthropoda; Arachnida; Scorpiones; Scorpionidae.